CCUACGGGAGGCUGCAGUGAGGAAUAUUGGUCAAUGGGCGAAAGCCUGAACCAGCCAUGCCGCGUGCAGGAAGACGGCUCUAUGAGUUGUAAACUGCUUUUGUACGAGGGUAAACACAGAUACGUGUAUCUGCUUGAAAGUAUCGUACGAAUAAGGAUCGGCUAACUCCGUGCCAGCAGCCGCGGUCAUACGUAGGAUCCGAGCAUUAUCCGGAGUGACUGGGUGUAAAGAGUUGCGUAGGUGGGAUAAUAAGUAGCUAGUGAAAUCUGGUGGCUCAACCAUUCAGACUAUUAGCUAAACUGUUAAGCUCGAGACCGUUAGGGGUAACUGGAAUUUCUAGUGUAGGAGUGAAAUGCGUAGAUAUUAGAAGGAACACCAAUAGCGUAGGCAGGUUGCUGGGACGGUUCUGACACUAAGGCACGAAAGCGUAGGGAGCAAACGGGAUUAGAUACCCCUGUAGUC
RNAcentral lists this ribosomal RNA (462 nucleotides) under uncultured bacterium. RNAcentral describes it as "partial 16S ribosomal RNA". It matches the Rfam family "Bacterial small subunit ribosomal RNA", at positions 338 to 795 of the family's 1533-position model. The record is from RNAcentral.